This 2194-nucleotide long non-coding RNA is filed under the name Aquila chrysaetos chrysaetos. RNAcentral describes it as "lncRNA (ENSACCG00020005159.1)". Lineage: Eukaryota; Metazoa; Chordata; Aves; Accipitriformes; Accipitridae. The record is from RNAcentral.
ACUAGGAAGAACUUCAGAAAGCAACGGAGAGCACCUUAAUGCUAGCACAGCCAGCCUGCUUCCCAGUACCUGAGCAGUGCAGUCCGCUGCACAGCCCACCUGGAUGGAUGUUCGCCUGGUGGCACCAGACUUGGAGAAUGUCUGGGCAGCAGCCACAGAGGGCAUGUUCUGACCUCACGUUCAGCAAAUGGUGUCUUCUCAACUGCAGAGUCUCAGUGCAUGGGAUUUCUGGAGGGACACUGACUACUGGAAAGUGAUAGCCAGAAGAUUUUGGAUGUCCACAGUGGUUUCAGUCACAGCUGUCAGGAAUGCAGAGCCUCCAGUGAAAUGCAUGGGAAACCAGUGUGUCCUCUUGAGCGGUCCAGGAAGGAACUUUCCCUGUCCCUCUUCCACUGCAUGAAGUUUCAGCCUUGACCAGGAACUGUGUCCAGCCACUAACCCUUAUUUUUCUGUAUAAUUUUGGAUGGUAAGAAACAUAGUUGAAGCAAAUGUUAAUACUGGCUCUUGAUUACAGCACUGUGGUAAUCAACUGCCUUGGCAUGCUACUGGGUUUGAAAUAAUUGGUCCCAUGCCCCAAAACUUUUAUUUAUUUCUGUAGGGAUAGCAUAAUGGUGACAAAAGGGACUGGGACAUGGAUUCCGUGCUGCAGCUCUCUUGCAAGCAUCAACCCUCCCCCCUCUCCCAAACUCACUCAUCUGACUUGGCACCAAACUACUUUGUAUUGCAGAGAAGAGUGUGGUGCAAUCAGAUCAUGGAUUCAGGUCCAGGACUUCUCAGUGUCUAAGGAUUAUGCUGUGGCAUAAGUAGAUCUAGUUGUUGCAUAUGCCUUUCAGAAGACACUUUGACACUGACUUCUUUUCUGUGCAGAUAUGCAGAUAAAAAUCAGCAGACUAUACUGUGGUAGAUGGCAUCCCCUUGCCAAAAUAAUAAGACCUUUGUGUACGCAGUGUUGGAAGAGAUAUAAUCACUGCAUGUUAUACAAGGCCAAAAUGUAACCUUCAAGGACCCCACAGAGAUCCAGCUGACAAUAAGGACAGCUGAUGCGCCAGUGAGGGUUUGCUCGACAGUCAACUGAAGCAAGAAGGUACGCUCUCAUGAACUGCCAGACCUGAAAGCAUGCUUGUUUCACCAGGCGGUUGAGCAAGCUGGAAGAGUACACGCUGCCCUAUAUGCCCCAGGGCUUGACAGAGAGAUGGAUGAGCACAAAAACAGUGACGAUAAAAGUUCUCCAGCCUUGACCAGUGACGUGUACGUACGUUUGUUGGGUUAACGUAUCAGAAUUAUCAUGAGAAACGAGACAGGAGAUUUCAGUACAGAAAUUAGAUGAUUGUCAUGCCAAGGGUAAUGGAUAGAUUACAUAACAAAGAAGAUGAUAGGGGAGGAUGGUGGAAGUUAACAGGAAGAACUUCUUUCAGGCACCUCACUUUGUUUUAUUGCUGGAAUUGGGAGAAGUGUAAUUGGAGUGUGGGUUAAAAAACAAAUGGAACUCAAACAAAAAGGGCAAGUUGGUGUGGGGGGGGACAACAUUGAAUAGUCUCUUCAGUCCUAAAAUUCUUUUCUUACAGUAUAUUUCAAACCUAGAAAAAUUAUAAGACAGAAUGAUUUCAAAGCCUAAGCAAAUCUCAUCCAAUACUGCUUUCCAUUAAUGAUUCCUGGGCUCUCCAUGAAACAUUCCUAGACUUGCCUUGUUCACAACAGCUCUUUUGAUGGGCAAAAUUGAACAUCUUAGGGAUAAAUAUGGAUAUUUUUAAGCCAAGUAUUUCACUCAGUAACAUGAUGCAAAAGUAAAAAAUUUUUUAAAAGUAAUACUUUUAAGUCUUCCAAACACUCUGAUAUUUUCAGGUAUAUAGACUCCUGCCAGUUUUUUAGGAACAGUAAAUUAAUGUGAACAUGCCUCUGUUAUCCUGUAAUUUUAUGUCCAUUUCCAUGUGUUUCUUGUAUUGUUAGCUUGCCUCCUGCUCUGUGGUUUAUUUGGGCAAGUUGCCUUUUUUAUUGUUGUUGUUACCUUUUGUGAGCAUGCCAGAGACCUUAGGGUGCCAAUAAAUUACAAUAUUAGUGCUCCUUUUUAUUGCCAUAUUACACUCAUUUCCCUCUGCUUGUUUGUGACCUAAUCUUGAACCUCUGCCUAAUCUGCUGAGCUGAAUUUUCUGUGUCCUGAUCAGAUUAGGAGGAGCAGUGGGCAAAUGCAUCCUUG